This 370-nucleotide ribosomal RNA is filed under the name uncultured prokaryote. RNAcentral describes it as "bacterial SSU rRNA". It matches the Rfam family "Bacterial small subunit ribosomal RNA", at positions 524 to 896 of the family's 1533-position model. The record is from RNAcentral.
UACGUAGGGGGCAAGCGUUGUCCGGAUUUACUGGGUGUAAAGGGCGCGUAGGCGGACUUGUAAGUCAGAGGUGAAAUCCUGCAGCUUAACUGCAGAACUGCCUUUGAUACUGCAAGCCUUGAGUUCGAAAGAGAGAGAUGGAAUUCCAGGUGUAGUAGUGAAAUACGUAGAUAUCUGGAAGAACACCAGUGGCGAAGGCGAUCUCUUGGUUCGUAACUGACGCUGAGGCGCGAAAGCGUGGGUAGCAAACAGGAUUAGAUACCCUGGUAGUCCACGCUGUAAACGAUGAAUACUAGGUGUUGGACAAUAAUGUUCAGUGCCGCAGCUAACGCAUUAAGUAUUCCACCUGGGGAGUACGAUCGCAAGGUUG